GUGCCAGCAGCCGCGGUAAUACAGAGGGUGCAAGCGUUAAUCGGAAUUACUGGGCGUAAAGGGCGCGUAGGUGGUUGAUUAAGUCAGAUGUGAAAACCCUGGGCUUAACUUAGGAAUUGCAUUUGAAACUGAUCGACUAGAGUUUGGGAGAGGGAAGUGGAAUUUCCGGUGUAGCGGUGAAAUGCGUAGAUAUCGGAAGGAACAUCAGUGGCGAAGGCGACUUCCUGGCCCGAUACUGACACUGAGGCGCGAAAGCGUGGGGAGCAAACAGGAUUAGAUACCCUGGUAGUCC
RNAcentral lists this ribosomal RNA (292 nucleotides) under uncultured bacterium. RNAcentral's name for it is "partial 16S ribosomal RNA". It matches the Rfam family "Bacterial small subunit ribosomal RNA", at positions 505 to 796 of the family's 1533-position model. The record is from RNAcentral.